CAGAGUAGAAGCGUUCAGCGUCAGCCAUGCGCCGGCGCCCGGAAAUUGCUCG
This 52-nucleotide non-coding RNA is filed under the name uncultured Pigmentiphaga sp. RNAcentral describes it as "NMT1 RNA". It matches the Rfam family "Xanthine riboswitch aptamer (NMT1 RNA)", at positions 6 to 51 of the family's 56-position model. Rfam says of the family: Later it was reported as a ncRNA that recognised Xanthine. The record is from RNAcentral. Lineage: Bacteria; Pseudomonadati; Pseudomonadota; Betaproteobacteria; Burkholderiales; Alcaligenaceae.